RNAcentral lists this ribosomal RNA (253 nucleotides) under uncultured bacterium. RNAcentral describes it as "partial 16S ribosomal RNA". It matches the Rfam family "Bacterial small subunit ribosomal RNA", at positions 524 to 776 of the family's 1533-position model. The record is from RNAcentral.
UACGGGGGGGGCAAGCGUUGUUCGGAAUUACUGGGCGUAAAGGGCGCGUAGGCGGGUGGACAAGUCUCUCGUGAAAGCCCACGGCUCAACCGUGGAAUUGCGGGAGGUACUGUCUGUCUUGAGUCCGGGAGAGGAGGGUGGAAUUCCCAGUGUAGCGGUGAAAUGCGUAGAUAUUGGGAGGAACACCGGUGGCGAAGGCGGCUCUCGGGACCGGUACUGACCAUGAGGCGCGAAAGCUAGGGGAGCAAACGGG